RNAcentral lists this unclassified non-coding RNA (210 nucleotides) under Hevea brasiliensis (rubber tree). The record is from RNAcentral. Lineage: Eukaryota; Viridiplantae; Streptophyta; Magnoliopsida; Malpighiales; Euphorbiaceae.
AAUAUUCAUAGUAACAAAUUACUCUCAUUUAAACAACACAUAUAAGAAAUAAAAAGGACAAAACAUAGGCAUAGACAUAUCAACACACAUAGGAGGAAAUAGAUAAUGAGUGCUUCCUUUUAUUCCCAAUACACAAUAGUAAUAAUAAAUGCAAAACAAAAAAUAAAAAAUAAUAGAGGGCUGACUAAUAGUAAAAUGCUAAUUAAGAAU